Molecule: unclassified non-coding RNA, 398 nt
Filed under: Hevea brasiliensis (rubber tree)
Lineage: Eukaryota; Viridiplantae; Streptophyta; Magnoliopsida; Malpighiales; Euphorbiaceae
Source: RNAcentral
GGGAAAUAUGCUCUCUAUUUUGGAGCAAAAAGCACUAGAAAGAGGAGGAAGAACAAUGUUACUCUCACGUAUAAUAUACGUUCGAGAAAACACCAAAAACAAGGAUAAUUACAAAUCAAUUUUAAUCUUCCAAAGCGAUUUGCAUUCAUGGUUACCCAAAAAGCGCUGGUGCAAAAUUCUUCUAUCAUUGAUAGAGAAGGACUAGAAUGACUGACAAAAAUCUUCACAGUAGAUGCAAGUAGGAAUCCGUCAAGUUCACACUAGAAAUUCAAGAUGACAACAGAAGUCUCAAGGGAUGUUUACAAGCUACCGAGAGGCAAUAAGAAAUGUAAGUCCGCAAAAUUGUUUCACCAAUUUUUCAUCUCCAAGCAUCGCCAUCAUCAUCAUCAUCAUCAUCA